This 67-nucleotide transfer RNA is filed under the name Marmota monax (woodchuck). RNAcentral describes it as "tRNA.Gly". The record is from RNAcentral. Lineage: Eukaryota; Metazoa; Chordata; Mammalia; Rodentia; Sciuridae.
GGUUAUGGCUCAGCGGUAGAGCGCUCGCCUCCCAUGAGUAAAACCCUGGGUUCAAUCCUCAGCACCA